AUCACACAAGCAAAGACAGAACAAACAUAUAUAGAGAGAGAUAUAUAUGGAUGUAUGUAAAAAACAAAAAUCUACCAAAAAAAGUUGGGAGGAGGCAUCAUUGGAUGCAGA
This 111-nucleotide non-coding RNA is filed under the name Lotharella globosa. Lineage: Eukaryota; Cercozoa; Chlorarachniophyceae. The record is from RNAcentral.